UCAUGGGCCUGCUCUCUGUGAUCUGUGGACU
This 31-nucleotide non-coding RNA is filed under the name Rattus norvegicus (Norway rat). The record is from RNAcentral. Lineage: Eukaryota; Metazoa; Chordata; Mammalia; Rodentia; Muridae.